GUCUACGGCCAUACCACCCUGAACGCUCCCGAUCUCGUCUGAUCUCAGAAGCUAAGGAGGGUCGGGCCUGGUUAGUACUUGGAUGGGAGGUCAUGAUCCCAGGGUCCUGGGAUC
Molecule: ribosomal RNA, 114 nt
Filed under: Neogale vison (American mink)
Lineage: Eukaryota; Metazoa; Chordata; Mammalia; Carnivora; Mustelidae
Source: RNAcentral